This 216-nucleotide long non-coding RNA is filed under the name Vitis vinifera (wine grape). RNAcentral describes it as "long non-coding RNA (VVIN_LNC007065)". Lineage: Eukaryota; Viridiplantae; Streptophyta; Magnoliopsida; Vitales; Vitaceae. The record is from RNAcentral.
AGAGAGGAAAAUAAAAUUAAAAAUUAAAAAUAAAAUUUUAAAAAUGAAAAAAAAAAUGAGAGAGAGAGAGAGAGAGAAGUGAGGGGGCGCCAGAAGUGGCGCUGAUGAUUGCCAAAGUGGAAGAUGGUGUGGUGAGGGGAAAUGAAAAAAGAGAAAGGAAGAGAAAAAAAAUGAAGAAAAGAAGAAAAGAAAAGGAAAUAAGGAAGAAUAGAGGAG